AUUGAACGCUGGCGGCACGCCUAACACAUGCAAGUCGAGCGGUAGCAUGAUUAGUAGCAAUACUAAUUGAUGACGAGCGGCGGACGGGUGAGUAAUACGUAGGAACCUGCCCUCAAGCGGGGGAUAACUAAGGGAAACUUUAGCUAAUACCGCAUAAUCUCGAGAGAGUAAAGCUGCAGCAAUGUGGCACUUGAGGAGGGGCCUGCGUCAGAUUAGCUAGUUGGUGAGGUAAUAGCUCACCAAGGCGAUGAUCUGUAACUGGUCUGAGAGGACGACCAGUCACACUGGGACUGGGACACGGCCCAGACUCCUACGGGAGGCAGCAGUGGGGAAUAUUGGACAAUGGGGGCAACCCUGAUCCAGCGAGGCCGCGUGGGUGAAGAAGGCCUUCGGGUUGUAAAGCCCUUUAGGUUGGGAAGAAGGUUAGUGGAGGGAAUGCCAUUAAUUUGACGGUACCAACAGAAUAAGCACCGGCAAACUCUGUGCCAGCAGCCGCGGUAA
Molecule: ribosomal RNA, 501 nt
Filed under: uncultured bacterium
Lineage: Bacteria
Description: partial 16S ribosomal RNA
Rfam family: Bacterial small subunit ribosomal RNA
Source: RNAcentral